CCGCGAGAUCGUGACCUGGCUGAAGUCGGACGCCUAACCGACUGCGCCACCCAGGCGUCCCAGGAAAAGACCUACAGCCACCAUUGAACAGGUGCACAGAGCGGACACAACUGUUCAAGACCACAGAGGAGACUCCUGGGACAGCCUCCACAGCCAGAAGGAAACUGCCCUGGGCUUUCUAAACAAGCACAUUCUCACAUCUUGUAAUGGUGUCACAGCUAGGGUGGAAUCUUCUAAGUGUCAGGAAACGACUGCCAGUUCCCGGGACUGAAGGCCAUUUCUCUGACUCCUGAGGGAACGCCCUGGUUUUCUAAAGCCUAGGAUGGCCUGACCGUGACCCUGAAGAAUGGAGAGACCAGGCUGGAUGCUCCUCACUCUGGGCCAAGUUGGAGGGGACCAUGCUGUUACAUCUUACGGGGAACUUUUAAAAUGAAUGGAUCAGGCUGUCACUGUCUAAAUCCACUAAUCAAAUCUCAACAUCCCCAAAGAGGAGACCACUAGACAUCAUGCACUCAUGAUGUGAUGAGAGAGGAAGUUCACAGGCCAUCGGUGAAGUAUCCUUGUCAAACAGUGCAACCUGGAUUAAUCGAGAUCUAAAUGAUACUUUUUAGGAAAUACAGGUCUUAGGGAAAUACGUUGGAUGAUGCCACACAGAUGCAAUCAGCAAAACGCAGAAUGUGGGAAACUCUAUGGGGCAAAUGACCCAGUUUCUCCAACAAAUACAUUAUAAGGGGAAAAGAAAAGUCAGGGGAGCCCUUAAAUUAAAAGAGACCUAGAAGAUACAGUAACCAGCUGCAAGGAGUGGAUCGUGUUGGGAUACUAACUAAAAAAAGAAAAGAAAGAGAGAAAGAAACUGUGAGAAAAUUGAGGAACGUUGAACACUGAUUGAAUAUUUGACAAUAUUAAUUCAUGAUGGUCUAUUGCACUAUUUUCUCCAUUUUGUGUGUGCUUGAAAUGUUCCAUAAUAUAAAGCUUAAAAACAGAGUGUGGGGAGGGAGGGAUACUCACGUACAUAGGAGUCAUUAAGAAAGAUUUUCUAUGAUAAAUGGGAAUAAUAAUCACUAUUUUCUAAGUACAGGGCCAACAGGUAAGUCACUCUUUGCUGUUUCUUCUUUAGUAACCAAUACUGUAAUCAGUAACUUACUGUAGACCCUAAAAGACUAUUUCAGGGAAGAUAUGCUGCUCUUCAUGAACAAAAGGGCUUAGCUCCAAUGUGAUUAGUCCUGCAGGCAGGCUUUUUUCAGCUACCUUAGCAAUGACCAGGGCCAGUGCUUGGCUGGACGAUGAAACCAUGAGAGAGGUAUAGAAUGCUUCUGUAUCACCUUCCUACUGCCUCUCUCAGGUCUUCCUGCCUCUUCCAUACUCCUUUGCCACAAAGGAGCACGGCUACUUUGUCCAGUUGAGCAGGUUGUACACUGCACAACUCUAGGGAAAUACAGAGCCUGUGUGAAUGAUACCCCUUUGGACUUAGGCCGCACGGAAACCCUUAGCAGCAGCCUAGUCACUUCAUGUCAUCUCGGAGUUUGGGACUCCUUAGCCUUAACCAGGCCUAUUUCCUCAGGACCCUACUUUCAGUCUCUGCUAAGGUCAAUGAGUAAUAAUGGUGUAAAUCAUAUUAGAUUUGUUUUUUUUUAAUGUAGGCUUCACGCCCAGCACAGAGGCCAAGGUAGGGCUUGAACUCACGACCGUGAGACCAAGACCUAAGCUGAGAUUGAGUCUGACACUUAACUGACUGAGCCACCCAGACACCCCCAUAUGAGCUCUUUAAGUUGGCAUUUUUCUAGUAUUUCUACCGAUAUCUUUCUCCCACCUAUAAAAUUCCCAUAUGUGUUAGUCAAGAUAGGCUGAAAGCUCCCAGACCUUAGUAGUUGAACAAAAUGGGUUUUGUUUCUUGCCUCCAUCAUAGUCCAGUAUGAGGGUAGGGGAGAAAGGGAUCUGCCUCUUCCUCUUUCAGGCUCCAUCAUCAGCCAUCACCUCCUUCCCUGAGUCUACUGCAAGAGAAGAAAGUGUGACAAGGCAUCUCCAUCCAAAUGGCCUCUGACCGGAGGUGACACCUAUCCCUUUGACUCACAAUCCAUCAGCAAGAACAUGUGGAGGGACAGAGUGCCAAGGAAGGUGGUGCUGAUGUGUCAGAAUAACCAGCUAGUCUCCGCUACACCAUGGGCGGUGGCCGUGCCUUAUUCCAGUUAAAUUAACCAGCCUCCACUGCAGGAUGCUGACACUGACAGGAGGAGUUCCUGGCCCCCCAGAGAGACAGAGCUUCACAUAAAGAAAACUGAGGUGCAGGGCUGGGGCAAGAAACGUCUUCCUUUGUGGCUGUUUCUUCGCAUAGGUAAAGUCUGGUGGUUUAAUGCAGGUAUUCUCUCCCAUCCUCCUUACCCUAACUUCAUUUUCAUCUGAAAGAGUGCAAUGAGGAAAGGGCGCUUAGUGCCCGGUGGAUUGGUGUGUAUUCUCCGGUGCGCCUACUUGUCCUAGAGUGCACAGUGGCUAAGACUUCCCUUCCUUGCCCUGAGAAAGAAAGGAUGCUCUGUUCUAUAAAGUCCUGAGGGGCCUCGAUGGGUCAACACUGCUCUAUUAAUACAGAAUGGGAUGACUCACCAGCUGUUGUUUCACUGCUUUCAGCAGACACAUUGAAACAUUUGCAAAAUAGCAAAGGCUUCUGGAUGGGAGGGGCCGUGGCUCACAAUCCAGACCACCCAGCAGGCACCUCAGGUAAUGGGCUUGCACCUGACCCAGGUAGAAAUUCAACAACACGUCAAGGGGUUGGCAUGAUCAGUCUGUGCCAUUUGGGAAACCACAACACCCUCUUUUUCCUUCCCUAUCACUUCCUUUUCCUCAUUAUUUUCCCCCUCCUCUUGUACAACCAUAGAUCUCUCUAAAAACCUAUUCAGAAGGAGCUGUUAGAUUAAAUAAAGUAAAAACAAAUCCAGUUAAAAGAUAGCAAACGUUGCCUUGAUAUAAAAUUUGCCUUAUAGAGCGCACAGCAUGACCUACUUAUGUGUUUGAUUUUCAUAGGCUCAUAGAACAUUGUCCACGAAGGUGGGAGCAGCACCCUCCUCAAGUUUUAAGCGCAUACAAACCACUGGGGACCCUGGCGGAGGCGGGGAUCCUGGGGAAGGGCCCAAGAAUCUGCAUUUUGGAAAAGCAGUAAGGGGAUGGGCCACUCUCUGAGCAGCAAGUGUCUAGAUUCAAUGUUGUUCAACCAUUUCCAUUUCAAAACAUAUUUGUAAAUUUGCCCAAGUUAUAUAGAAAAUACAGUCUGAACAGAUGAUCAAAGUGGCAAAAUUGUUCUCCUGAAAACCGCAUUCCUUAAUAAAAACUUUGUUACAGAGGGGCGCCUGGGUGGCGCAGUCGGUUAAGCGUCCGACUUCAGCCAGGUCACGAUCU
Felis catus (domestic cat) is the source of this 3387-nucleotide long non-coding RNA. RefSeq lists it as uncharacterized. The transcript has 5 exons. NCBI's taxonomy places the organism in Eukaryota, Metazoa, Chordata, Mammalia, Carnivora, Felidae. The record is from RefSeq and is a predicted model, not a curated record.